This 492-nucleotide ribosomal RNA is filed under the name uncultured bacterium. Its description in RNAcentral is "partial 16S ribosomal RNA". It matches the Rfam family "Bacterial small subunit ribosomal RNA", at positions 29 to 507 of the family's 1533-position model. The record is from RNAcentral.
AGUGAACGCUGGCGGUAGGCCUAACACAUGCAAGUCGAACGGCAGCACAGUAAGAGCUUGCUCUUACGGGUGGCGAGUGGCGGACGGGUGAGGAAUACAUCGGAAUCUACUUUUUCGUGGGGGAUAACGUAGGGAAACUUCCGCUAAUACCGCAUACGACCUACGGGUGAAAGCAGGGGAUCUUCGGACCUUGCGCGAUUGAAUGAGCCGAUGUCGGAUUAGCUAGUUGGCGGGGUAAAGGCCCACCAAGGCGACGAUCCGUAGCUGGUCUGAGAGGAUGAUCAGCCACACUGGAACUGAGACACGGUCCAGACUCCUACGGGAGGCAGCAGUGGGGAAUAUUGGACAAUGGGCGCAAGCCUGAUCCAGCCAUACCGCGUGAGUGAAGAAGGCCUUCGGGUUGUAAAGCUCUUUUGUUGGGAAAGAAAAGCAGCAGGUUAAUACCCCGCUGUUCUGACGGUACCCAAAGAAUAAGCACCGGCUAACUUCGUG